CAAGUGCUACCUCCUGGAGCUUCUCUUGGAAAUGGGCUCACACCAGAGGCAGCAAGAGACCUUGGCCUUCUCCCUGGGAUUGCGGUCGCAGCUUCACUCAUUGAUGCCCAUGCAGGAGGACUAGGAGUGAUUGGGGCAGAUGUGAGAGGGCACGGCCUCGUCUGUGAGGGGCAGCCAGUGACGUCACGGCUGGCUGUCAUCUGUGGAACGUCUUCUUGUCACAUGGGGAUCAGCAAAGACCCGAUUUUUGUACCAGGCGUCUGGGGGCCUUAUUUCUCAGCCAUGGUACCUGGGUUCUGGCUGAAUGAAGGUGGUCAGAGCGUUACUGGAAAAUUGAUAGACCACAUGGUACAAGGCCAUGCUGCUUUUCCAGAACUACAAGUAAAGGCCACAGCCAGGUCACCGGAUUGAAACUGUCUCAGGACCUCGAUGAUCUUGCCAUUCUCUACCUGGCCACAGUUCAAGCCAUUGCUGUAAGAUACUGUAAUGCCAUUUUUAAAGAGACUUAGAGCCAUCAGUAUACUCUAGGCCACUGGCUCCCCAAGAUACAGCACAUGCUUUUGUGACAGAGAUUCUUAAUUAAAAGAUUGUUUGCAAAAAAGA
This 603-nucleotide small RNA is filed under the name Pan troglodytes (chimpanzee). RNAcentral describes it as "processed transcript". Lineage: Eukaryota; Metazoa; Chordata; Mammalia; Primates; Hominidae. The record is from RNAcentral.